UUUUCUCAUCUUUUAAGACAUGGAAGAACGACUUAAAUCUUCCAGUCAUCUUGUAGUCUAACCAAGCAAAAACUCUUAUGGAGUUACUCCCAAACUUUGCUAUUACCCUUGUUGUUCCUGAUCUACUUCCUAGUUAAAAAAACCCAAAACUUUUGAAAGGCCAGGAAAGUUUUCCUUUAUGUAUUAGUAAGUUAACUUUGUCUGGUCGUCUAUACAUAUUCCUUGGCCAAUAUCUUAUGUCUGCCUUCAAAGGAACAUGAGGUGAGGAACACAGCCAACCAAAAGGAGAGAAGUACUAGAAAAUUAGACUUUUUAUUCAUGAGUUAUCAUAAAUUGUCUUUAUCACAGGAAUGUUCUUACUAUUUUGCUUUCAGAAAAGUAGAAGAAUCAAAUGUAAAAUACCCUGUCAUAGGUAUUACAGGGAAAGGAGCUGAAGUAUUUUCAACUCAGUGUCUGUUUAGUGUGUUAUGUCCACAAUUCUGCAUCCUGCAGCCAGAGAUGUAAAGCACUCCAGAAAAUCGAUACAGGAACACCCGUGCAUUGCGAUUUCAGAUGCAUUAACCAGCCUUGCAUAAGCAGCUGUCCUAAAGUCUGUACUGAGGAGGACCUGAAAGCUGGUAGGAAGUAAAAGCCACAAAGCAGAGGAUCCUGAGUGCUGUAAAACUAUGAACUGCAAUACAUACUCCAGAGCUCCUGCCCACUCAGCUCUUAACCCAUGAGGAGGUGAUGCCCUGGCUUUGGCUUGUUUUUAGGCUGGUACCCUUAGCCACAAGUCCUGAGUGUGUGGUUCUCUUUCUGCCUUGCCCCUUUGAGUGUUCCGUCUGACUUCCUGCUGGAGCAGAGGGCAGGGACCAGGAGCUCCUUGCUUUGCUCCCUGGGUGGGCAGGGACGUGAUGAGCUCCUGCCAUGUGCCAAAAUCCCCAGGCAAGGGAGGGAGAAGGGGAAGAGGAGGCUGUGGGCCCAUCUCCCCAGGAAGGAUGGGGUCCACUGUAGGCAGCACCCAGAACAGACUAGCACCAGGACCAGCAUGUGCAGGUACACUCAGUUCUUCAUUUGACUCCUAACAUACUUGUUUCAUAGCAUGGCUGUUUCCCCAAACAUCGUAUGACUUGGUUUCAGUAUUGUAAAAACAGUUUGGACAUCAGUAUUUCAUUUGCACUUUGUCUAACACAACCACUAGAAACUCUUCUUUGGAGUUAUGUUUACAGCUAUUUGCAGAGAGUUAUCCUGAUGGCUUCUGCUUUGGUGCCUGACUGACAUUUAGAACCCAUCUCAUGGAGGUCUUGUGGGGUUCUCUCCCUGCCCUUCCCUACCCCCUUAUGAAACUAUGUUCUGAAUUUUCAAUAGCAAGAAUGAACUGUUAAAACUUAGCAUGGCAAAAGAUGUUCUGAAUUUUGCUAAGAACUGUUUUGGUGUUUGUAACUGGCACACAGCAUAAUUUUAAUUUCUAUCUAGCCAAUCGUAGUGAUACACAAGUUAGAUCAUCCUCAGAAUGGUCACUAAACUCAGCCCUAGGACUCCUGGCUAUGACACAGAAAAUUUUGAGCACAAUAAAUGUAAUUUGAUUGGGAAACAUAUUUUUUCAUCACAUUUAUUUUAAUUAGAAUGGAAAGUGAUGUGAAAUUCCUAUUUUGCAAAAAAACAUAAACUGUUACCUACUAAUGGGUUAAAAAUAAACAGAAGCCUUCAUAUAAAAAAAAAACCCAAAAGAAACAGAGAGAAACGGUAAUGACAGUUUUGAAGUAUCCAGUACCUGUUGUGACAGGAAUAACAAAUUAAUUGGGACUAUAACGGAUUCUUUGUAAAGGUGAAGUAAACACACUUGACUGUAUAUUUUUCACCAUCAGUUAAGUCUCAAUUGGUUCUAAAAAUAAACAGAAGACAUUGAACAGUUUUAAUGGAUUUUGACACCUAGGUAUUAUGCUGUCACUCCAGUAUAAAUGAAUCAUAACUUUAGACUGCGCCAAGGAAUUACUACACAUUUGGAGAAAAUUUAUGGUGCACCGGGCUUUGAAUCAUGAUGUGAUAUCAAAACUAAAGUCACAAGAGGAAAAAAGUCUGGCAUAAAUUAUUAUUUACCCAAGCCACACAUAUCCAUGUGAACGCAACAAGUAUGGUUUGCAGGGUUAGUUAGAAAUGGCACUAUAAUUUCUAGGUGUUAACACCUCUCUGAGCGGCUGUUCUGGCAGAGCUCCCGGGGAGCUGCAUCCAGAGGGGACCUGAGCACAAAUGCUGGGCAAACCACUGCAGCUGCCAGAUGUUUGUUGCUUCUCAGAAUUUGACCUAAUUAAGAGUUUACCAAUGAAGAAGUUAAAAGGAAGAAUUUCAGCAUUUGAAUUUGCAGUUAUGGGUUAGGCUUAAAUGUACUUAUUUUAAUAUCUAAUGCAGGACUUGCAGAUGAUUAAUUUCUUACUUUGGGGUCAAAGACACCUUAGACUUUUUGUGGCUGUGAACAUCUCUAAUGUGAUGGGUUCAAGCUGGUUGUCUAAUUUGUGGUCAUAUAGGUAGGUAAGCCUUAGAAUAUACA
This is a long non-coding RNA of Motacilla alba alba, 2527 nucleotides long. RefSeq lists it as uncharacterized. The transcript is spliced from 3 exons. The record is from RefSeq and is a predicted model, not a curated record. NCBI's taxonomy places the organism in Eukaryota, Metazoa, Chordata, Aves, Passeriformes, Motacillidae.